UACGGGAGGCAGCAGUAGGGAAUCUUGCACAAUGGGCGAAAGCCUGAUGCAGCAACGCCGCGUGAGCGAUGAAGGCCCUUGGGUCGUAAAGCUCUGUCCUAUGGGAAGAAACAAAUGACGGUACCAUUGGAGGAAGCCCCGGCUAACUACGUGCCAGCAGCCGCGGUAAU
RNAcentral lists this ribosomal RNA (170 nucleotides) under uncultured rumen bacterium. RNAcentral describes it as "partial 16S ribosomal RNA". It matches the Rfam family "Bacterial small subunit ribosomal RNA", at positions 340 to 524 of the family's 1533-position model. The record is from RNAcentral.